GGGGAAUAUUGCGCAAUGGGGGAAACCCUGACGCAGCGACGCCGCGUGAGCGAAGAAGGCCUUCGGGUUGUAAAGCUCUGUUGUAAGGGACGAAAGAUCAAGGGAAUAACUGCCCUUGAAGUGACGGUACCUUACCAGCAAGCCCCGGCUAACUACGUGCCAGCAGCCGCGGUAAGACGUAGGGGGCGAGCGUUGUCCGGAAUUACUGGGCGUAAAGAGCACGUAGGCGGAUGUAUAAGUCAGGUGUGAAAGACCGAAGCCUAACUGCGGGGUUGCACUUGAAACUGUAUAUCUUGAGGGCAGGAGAGGUUAGUAGAAUUCCUGGUGUAGCGGUGAAAUGCGUAGAAAUCAGGAGGAAUACCAGUGGCGAAGGCGACUAACUGGACUGACCCUGACGCUGAGGUGCGAAAGCGUGGGUAGCAAAC
RNAcentral lists this ribosomal RNA (425 nucleotides) under uncultured bacterium. RNAcentral describes it as "bacterial SSU rRNA". It matches the Rfam family "Bacterial small subunit ribosomal RNA", at positions 356 to 773 of the family's 1533-position model. The record is from RNAcentral.